RNAcentral lists this transfer-messenger RNA (404 nucleotides) under Crocinitomicaceae. RNAcentral's name for it is "Crocinitomix sp013138735 Standard tmRNA". It matches the Rfam family "transfer-messenger RNA". Rfam says of the family: Bacterial tmRNA, also known as 10Sa RNA or SsrA, is named for its dual tRNA and mRNA-like properties. Its role is to liberate the mRNA from a stalled ribosome. The record is from RNAcentral. RNAcentral also lists the same sequence under 2 other names. Lineage: Bacteria; Pseudomonadati; Bacteroidota; Flavobacteriia; Flavobacteriales.
GGGGCCGACUUGGAUUUGACUGCAACUGCGGUAGAUGUACAAGCAUGUCGAGAAAUGCAAUAUACCUCGUGAAAAGUAUUUGUAACAUGAAUAAUUGACAACAAUAAUUCAUACGCGUUGGCUGCGUAAUCUGAACACAGUUUAGAUUCGCUUAGUUCACCCCAAGUUUAGUAAGGGAACCUCGCUGUUUGCCAAACUUCUGAUCAUCAAGUUUGGAUCACAGACAUCAUAUGCAUGAUCUAGUCAAGACGGAGCUGCGACGUUUUGAUGAAAUUAAGUAGCUUAGGUUAUUAUGUGGGGUGUUUGUGCCCAGCUUUUAACUGAAGUUCAAUCACAAAAUAAGCAUGUAGAAACUAUAUAGACUCAUUGUUAGGACGAGGGUUCGAUCCCCUCCGGCUCCACCA